GGUAGAGAAACAAACCAAAUUUUGACCACAAUCUAAGCCCCGAAUCGCGAAGCUCAUGAAGAGAAAAGUGUUGUACGUCGCGUUGCCUUCAAUUUGAGCUAAAGAUCAGCCAAGAAGGAGAGGGUGGAAGUAGUUGCUGCAUACUUAAGGUAACGACGUGACAUUGAGGGAGAGCAAGUGAACGAUAACAUAGCUAAACGACAAAGGUAGACAGGGAGACGAUCUUGAUCCAGGUGCAUAGGAGUUAGCGGCUGAUUUGAGAGCACUCCAUUGUUCGGAGGUGCUUAUGGUUAUUCUGUUGUGCAUAUCUAUGUAUAUUUUGGGCAUGACAGAGUUUUGUUCCGCCUAUAUGUAUAGUACUUUAGUAGAGGCUCAUAGGUGCGCAGUGUGGGUAGUAUGGUCUCACAGUUUUUACGUAUAUGCAUACUACUAUUUUGAUAGCCUAAGGGCUUAUGUUUAUAAAAGUACGAUUUCUAGCAUGAAUUGUAUAUGAAUUCGAUAAAGAAGAGUAUAAUGAGUAUAGUGAGCAGUAUAA
Lycium ferocissimum is the source of this 535-nucleotide long non-coding RNA. RefSeq lists it as uncharacterized. NCBI's taxonomy places the organism in Eukaryota, Viridiplantae, Streptophyta, Magnoliopsida, Solanales, Solanaceae. The record is from RefSeq and is a predicted model, not a curated record. The transcript has 3 exons.